UACGUAGGUGGCAAGCGUUGUCCGGAAUUAUUGGGCGUAAAGCGCGCGCAGGCGGUUUCUUAAGUCUGAUGUGAAAGCCCACGGCUCAACCGUGGAGGGUCAUUGGAAACUGGGGAACUUGAGUGCAGAAGAGAAAAGCGGAAUUCCACGUGUAGCGGUGAAAUGCGUAGAGAUGUGGAGGAACACCAGUGGCGAAGGCGGCUUUUUGGUCUGUAACUGACGCUGAGGCGCGAAAGCGUGGGGAGCAAACAGG
RNAcentral lists this ribosomal RNA (253 nucleotides) under uncultured bacterium. RNAcentral describes it as "partial 16S ribosomal RNA". It matches the Rfam family "Bacterial small subunit ribosomal RNA", at positions 524 to 776 of the family's 1533-position model. The record is from RNAcentral.